ACAGGGAUUGCCCUAGUAACGGCGAGUGAAGCGGCAACAGCUCAAAUUUGAAAUCUGGCGUCUUUGGCGUCCGAGUUGUAAUUUGCAGAGGGCGCUUUGGCAUUGGCAGCGGUCCAAGUUCCUUGGAACAGGACGUCACAGAGGGUGAGAAUCCCGUACGUGGUCGCUAGCCUUUACCGUGUAAAGCCCCUUCGACGAGUCGAGUUGUUUGGGAAUGCAGCUCUAAAUGGGAGGUAAAUUUCUUCUAAAGCUAAAUACUGGCCAGAGACCGAUAGCGCACAAGUAGAGUGAUCGAAAGAUGAAAAGCACUUUGGAAAGAGAGUUAAAAAGCACGUGAAAUUGUUGAAAGGGAAGCGCUUGCAGCCAGACUUGCCUGUAGUUGCUCAUCCGGGUUUUUACCCGGUGCACUCUUCUAUGGGCAGGCCAGCAUCAGUUUGGGCGGUUGGAUAAAGGUCUCUGUCACGUACCUCCUCUCGGGGAGAACUUAUAGGGGAGACGUAAUGCAACCAGCCUGGACUGAGGUCCGCGCAUCUGCUAGGAUGCUGGCGUAAUGGCUGUAAGCGGCCCGUCUUGAAACACGGACCAAGGAGUCUAACAUCUAUGCGAGUGUUUGGGUGUCAAGCCCGAGCGCGUAAUGAAAGUGAACGGAGGUGGGAACCUUUCGGGGUGCACCAUCGACCGAUCCUGAUGUCUUCGGAUGGAUUUGAGUAAGAGCAUAGCUGUUGGGACCCGAAAGAUGGUGAACUAUGCUUGAAUAGGGUGAAGCCAGAGGAAACUCUGGUGGAGGCUCGCAGCGGUUCUGACGUGCAAAUCGAUCGUCAAAUUUGGGCAUAGGGGCGAAAGACUAAUCGAACUAUCUAGUAGCUGGUUCCUGCCGAAGUUUCCCUCAGGAUAGCAGUAACGUUUUCAGUUUUAUGAGGUAAAGCGAAUGAUUAGAGGCCUGGGGGUUGAAACAACCUUCACCUAUUCUCAAACUUUAAAUAUGUAAGAAGUCCUUGUUACUUAAUUGAACGUGGACAGUUGAAUGUAUCGUUACUAGUGGGCCAUUUUUGGUAAGCAGAACUGGCGAUGCGGGAUGAACCGAACGCGGGGUUAAGGUGCCAGAAUAUACGCUCAUCAGACACCACAAAAGGUGUUAGUUCAUCUAGACAGCAGGACGGUGGCCAUGGAAGUCGGAAUCCGCUAAGGAGUGUGUAACAACUCACCUGCCGAAUGAACUAGCCCUGAAAAUGGAUGGCGCUCAAGCGUAUUACCCAUACCCCGCCGCUGGGGCAAGAUUGAAGCCCCAGCGAGUAGGCAGGCGUGGAGGUCCGUGACGAAGCCUUGG
This 1327-nucleotide ribosomal RNA is filed under the name Boeremia strasseri. Its description in RNAcentral is "eukaryotic LSU rRNA". It matches the Rfam family "Eukaryotic large subunit ribosomal RNA", at positions 68 to 1414 of the family's 3401-position model. Lineage: Eukaryota; Fungi; Ascomycota; Dothideomycetes; Pleosporales; Didymellaceae. The record is from RNAcentral.